RNAcentral lists this long non-coding RNA (871 nucleotides) under Phascolarctos cinereus (koala). Its description in RNAcentral is "lncRNA (ENSPCIG00000035917.1)". The record is from RNAcentral. Lineage: Eukaryota; Metazoa; Chordata; Mammalia; Diprotodontia; Phascolarctidae.
GGGAUGAUGUUUUACAUAAAACUGUGAGUCUGCUAGGGUGAAGUUAAACAGUUUCCUUACCUGUGUCUUUCAAUCCCUUUUCUAUUUAAGAAAGUAGAGACCUGGGAAAAUUUACCUGAGAUUGGAGGUAUGAUAAAUCCUAAAAAAACUAAAAUGAAAGUCUGACCAUAAGUUAGGUGACAGUUGAGUGGAAAUACCCAGGGAAUCCAGUAAAGCCAAGACAGUUUGAAAACAGAGUGGUUCAGAGGUCAGAUGAAGAAAAGCAGUUAACAGAAAAAUUCUAAGAAGAGUUUAAGGGUGUAGAACUGAUGUUAGCAUAUUUUUUUUUCUGUCUUCUAGUUCAGACUGCCUUGGGAACAUUGUCCACAGCUACUGGAUAAUAAGAAACCUGACUGAGGAAACUGAGUCAAAUUCCAUAGAUAUUGGCUGAGAAUACUUAUUGAGGAUAGCUGUAGCCUUUAACUGAGACAGCUUUUAAAUUGGUAAAUCAAGGAAUCAUCAUAAUCCAUUCCAUCUCUGGCCAUCUAUAUGCCAUGCUCCAGAGUUCUGGCCUCAGCCCCAGAUUGGUACCAGAUGUCACAAAAUCCUUUUAUGAUAGUUGCUCUGAAAAAGGCCAAGUCACAGUGGUGGAGAAAUCUUCAAACUGGUCAAUCUACUUUGACACUCAGACCACAGCUAGUCUCCUAGGAAGGCAAAAGAGAGACCUCAGUACUUAUAAACCAUGGUUCAUUUAGAAUUUUGGAAGAAAGAGCAAGAAAGCAUCAGACCAAACAGCAAACAAGUUUGGACAAGCCUUCCGGAGAAGGUAUAGUACAUCUAAUUUCCCACUAUUGCAAAAGACCGUAUCACACCAAGUUCAUGGUGGUUCAAC